GACGUAGGGGGCCAGCGUUGUUCGGAAUUACUGGGUGUAAAGGGUUCGUAGGCGGUGCGGCAAGUCGGGAGUGAAAUCUCUGGGCUUAACCCAGAGGCUGCUUCCGAAACUGCUGUGCUUGAGUGUGGGAGAGGCGCGUGGAAUUGCAGGUGUAGCGGUGAAAUGCGUAGAUAUCUGCAGGAACGCCCGUGGCGAAAGCGGCGCGCUGGACCACUACUGACGCUGAGUGAACGAAAGCUAGGGGAGCAAACAGG
RNAcentral lists this ribosomal RNA (254 nucleotides) under uncultured bacterium. RNAcentral's name for it is "partial 16S ribosomal RNA". It matches the Rfam family "Bacterial small subunit ribosomal RNA", at positions 524 to 776 of the family's 1533-position model. The record is from RNAcentral.